Lathyrus oleraceus (garden pea) is the source of this 2642-nucleotide long non-coding RNA. RefSeq lists it as uncharacterized. Lineage: Eukaryota; Viridiplantae; Streptophyta; Magnoliopsida; Fabales; Fabaceae. The record is from RefSeq and is a predicted model, not a curated record. The transcript is spliced from 5 exons.
GACAGCCCUAGCCGCGUGGCUGUUGGGCGUGAAUAAUUAGGAACGGCUACCGCUAGCCCUAGCUGGCAGCCAUAAUGACAGGUAGCUGCUGGGAAACCACAAAAGUUCCCACGACACAGUAACCGAAUAUGUUUUAAAUGUUUUAAAUGAAAAAUAAAUGCAAGGAAAUGGUAUUUGAAAAAGGAAUCGGUAGUGAAUGAAAUGAAAAAAAAAACAAACAAUGUCUUUUCCCUCACCCAGAACCCAAGUUAUUCUCAGAGAAAAACCUAACCUUCUCAACUUGAGGAGAUCCAGAAAUGAAUGACCGCAAACAACAAACGAAUGCCGGCGACGGAGAUGAAACCCGACCGGGAAGCACAAACGGAACCGUUUACAAGGAGGUUCAACAACGAUUGGGUGAUGGACGUUGGAAUCUCUCACUCUUUUUCCAAUCGAUUCCCACCGGUGCGCUCAAAACUCGCCUCCCUUGCCUUCGGUAUGAGCUUCGUCCAAUGGCGGUGAAAAAAGUGGAGGUCUGUUCGUACAGAGGAUGUCUGGAGAUUUUUGUCCUCAUCCCAGCUUGUGGUCCCUCUUCUCAACUCCUCGGUUUACCCUUUUACUGCUUGCCCAGAUUUUUACUGCUUUGUUACGUGAGCCUGUUAUAAAUUCGUGUCUAUGAAAGAUGAGGGUGAAAGAUUUCUCUUUAUGUCUCCUUCAAACACUGAUAUAUCUAAUGAAUCAUUUGGUGCUUUUUCCGGAAAGAAUAUUUUCAAUAAGCACUUAAUGUGAUGGACUUGAUUCUGAAUGCUAUAUAAGAUCAAAAACCUUAGGAUCAUCACAAGUUUCUGGUGGUUUUGGUUUUUGCAGAAAGUUGAGUUGGGUGUAUCAGCAAGUUAAUCUUUUAUGUUUUUGUUGUUGACUUUUUCUUAUGAAUGGAGUUCUCACUUGGAAAUUUGACACUUAGCAGAAGCUAUGGUGAAUUCACUCGUAGGCGAGAAUCGUUGCAGAAAUGGUGCCGGUUGCAAUGCUCACCUGCAAAUUGGUUUGGGGAAUCUCACGACAGUAAAUGGUAAGCUUUUGUUCCUUGUUCAAGCUUUUCGUGGCAUAUUACAAAGUUGGUGAAUUUGUGUAGGGUUUGGUGCGUUGCAUUGAUUGGUGAGUUGUUAUACGCGCGACGGUUCGCAUCACCACACGAACACGAUAAUGCAUCACUGCAAUAUUGGUUCCUUCUGCAACAAAAUGCGUGUAUGCAAUUUUACACCUUCAUCUAAAAGUGUCUGGAUCAAUGGGAUUUCCAAAAAAAAUAACCCUUCAUCAAAAUGCAUCUUAGCACAUUCCAAAUGUCUAAUGGCUUCCUCUUAUGAGAAGAAUUCAGAAGCAAUUGAACCCAACAGAGUCUGGCAGCAACAAAUAUGAAGUUUGCUGUUAGUACUACCAAGUCUGAAUCACCGUCCUCUACAUCAAUCACUUGUUUGGAUUGAGUAACCUCAAGUUGAAUUUCUAUCAAGGAGCGUCCAACCCAUAUAACAGAACCAACAAUUGUAAGAUCAAUGUUAACACUAAUCGGUUUCUUUAGUACAAUCUUAUCCACAGAAGCAGUGACAAAUAUAAGUGGCCUUGUUGUACUAUCUUCAUUAGAACAAUGCUUAACAGAAAUGGUUCCGUCCCAAAAUCCAUUGCUUGUUUACCAUGUGAAGAUGCAACUGCAAUAAGUGGCUUUCCAUACUUGGCUCCACUAUGUGAUGUUGGGGUGCCAACAUUGGUCUUGCGAGGGGCUAUAGUUGUUUUGCUGCAAUGACAGUCGUGUGAUAACACUUGCCAUUGGUGCCAACAGUCGUGAAGUUUUGGAUUUGCUGCAGGGUCCUGCUGUCACUACUGUUAUGACGUUUUCUUGCGUUUCUGAAUGAAGCUCUUAUAACAGUAUCCUGCUGCCACCUUUUUCCAGGAGACUUCUUUUUACCUUUGCCUAAUGUCCAACCAGUAGGGGAGAAAGCAACUAUAAGACUGAACCGACUCGCAUAUUGACUUGAUAUGUGCUUCAAUCUUUUGAAGCUUGCGAGCGUCCACAUAGGGCAACAUGAAUAUUGCUUUCAUGUUCAUUUGAAAUAAACCAUUGCAUAUCCUCCUUAGUAAAUUCUAAACAGUUUAAAAGGCGUAAUUUGGCUGCAGUCACGUAAACCUUUUUGCAAAGUGAACGUGCAACCUCCAAGAAUAGCCUUUCUUUUCCAAUUGUACAGCUGUGUGAAGUACCACCUGACCAUUCGGAGGUUGAAAGAGUAUUAUUGGCAUCCAAGCAAGUCACGCCAAUACCAGCUAUUUCAAUCUUUUGGUUUAGAGAAAAAAUAUGUAAUUUAUCAUAUGAAAUCCCUAGGUUCAUAUUUACAAGUCUAGCCGUAACAGAGGAGCAAUAGAUCUUUCCAUGAUUGAACGACUUGGCGAGACUUGAUAAUGGUCCAUGUGGAAGUGUGUUAGAAACCAGUGGGAACAAUCUCCUCUUAGGUAUUUGAAAGCAUCCACACGAAAAGGUGUUCCUUGUAGCAAGACAUAGUCGUUCUUUGCCUUAGAACUUCCAAGUAUUCAUAUGAGCUACUUUUUUAUUAUAAGUUAUUCAUAUGCCAUGUACAUGGAUAAUUAUGAUUGAAUGAAUGUGAGAAAUUCUUGGA